GGAGGGGUGGGUGAGCGGUUUAAACCACCGGUCUUGAAAACCGGCGUCCACUGACCGUGGACCGCGAGUUCGAAUCUCGCCCCCUCCGCCA
RNAcentral lists this transfer RNA (91 nucleotides) under Binatia bacterium. RNAcentral describes it as "tRNA-Ser". It matches the Rfam family "tRNA". Rfam says of the family: Transfer RNA (tRNA) molecules are approximately 80 nucleotides in length. The record is from RNAcentral. Lineage: Bacteria; Candidatus Binatota; Binatia (SeqCode).